UAUGGGGCCGCCACAAAGACAACAAUAACUAUUAUCUUGGUCGCAAUCACAAGAUGUACCAGUAUGCCCUUGUCCACAUUUAUAGCACCUUGGUUUAGAUCUGCAUGUAUCUUUAGUAUGUCCAUACCGGCAACAAUUGUAGCAUUGAAUUGAAGGAUAAAUGUAUAGUUCUACUUUGAGGGAAUUGAAACACAUAAAUACUCUUGUGGGAAGGACCUGACCAUCAAAAACAUGUCCACCGGUACACCACUUACGAGCCCCAUCCUGAUAAUGUUAAAAGAUGGAAUAAAAGCUUCAUAGCCUUUUUCCAAUAAGGCAUGAUGUUUUAAGAAAGAAUUUGCAGCUGAGUGACUUGUGAAUGCCAUUGAAAUUUUGUUGCGACCAAUACGCUUCAAACUGCCUUGUACUAUGUUUGGCACCUGGUUUUUAUGCAAAAAUCUGCCAAAGCAUAUUGGAUGCAAAUUAAGAUCCUGUGUUACCUCUCCUGUACUAGACCUAGCAACAUGAAUAAUAAAUGGUGAAGCAUCCAAUGCAGUAUAUUCUUUUCUAAUACUAUCAGAAAUAUUGGGAGGUAACUGGGAGGCCUGAGAUGGAAGAGCUUGUGUAUGCGGUGCUAUAAGAGGUGAUGGAUUUUCAGUGAUUUUUUCGUCACUGUCUUCACAACGACAUCCACUUCUACCUGAAUCUACAGCCAUUGCAUUUUUGCGUUUUUUUUUAUUACAUGUUUUGCACACCUUAUUUAAUCGUA
Molecule: long non-coding RNA, 748 nt
Filed under: Manduca sexta (tobacco hornworm)
Lineage: Eukaryota; Metazoa; Arthropoda; Insecta; Lepidoptera; Sphingidae
Description: uncharacterized LOC119192207, transcript variant X2
Source: RNAcentral